This 540-nucleotide ribosomal RNA is filed under the name uncultured bacterium. Its description in RNAcentral is "bacterial SSU rRNA". It matches the Rfam family "Bacterial small subunit ribosomal RNA", at positions 56 to 642 of the family's 1533-position model. The record is from RNAcentral.
UGCAGUCGAACGAGACCUUCGGGUCUAGUGGCGCACGGGUGAGUAACGCGUGGAAACCUACCAUUCUGUACGGAAUAACGAUUGGAAACGAUCGCUAAUACCGUAUACGCCCUGUGGGGGAAAGGUCCGCCGCAGAAUGAGGGGUCCGCGUCCGAUUAGCUUGUUGGUGGGGUAAAAGCCUACCAAGGCGAUGAUCGGUAGCUGGUCUGAGAGGAUGAUCAGCCACACUGGGACUGAGACACGGCCCAGACUCCUACGGGAGGCAGCAGUGGGGAAUAUUGGACAAUGGGGGCAACCCUGAUCCAGCAAUGCCGCGUGUGUGAAGAAGGCCUUAGGGUUGUAAAGCACUUUCAAUGGUGAAGAUGAUGACGGUAGCCGUAAAAAGAAGCCCCGGCUAACUUCGUGCCAGCAGCCGCGGUAAUACGAAGGGGGCGAGCGUUGUUCGGAAUUACUGGGCGUAAAGGGCGCGCAGGCGGCCAAUCCAGUCAGGUGUGAAAGCCCCGGGCUUAACCUGGGAACUGCACUUGAUACUGAUUGGCU